This 1151-nucleotide ribosomal RNA is filed under the name Salmonella enterica subsp. enterica serovar Muenchen. RNAcentral's name for it is "partial 23S ribosomal RNA". It matches the Rfam family "Bacterial large subunit ribosomal RNA", at positions 711 to 1773 of the family's 2925-position model. The record is from RNAcentral. Lineage: Bacteria; Pseudomonadati; Pseudomonadota; Gammaproteobacteria; Enterobacterales; Enterobacteriaceae. RNAcentral also lists the same sequence under 3 other names.
AGACCCGAAACCCGGUGAUCUAGCCAUGGGCAGGUUGAAGGUUGGGUAACACUAACUGGAGGACCGAACCGACUAAUGUUGAAAAAUUAGCGGAUGACCUGUGGCUGGGGGUGAAAGGCCAAUCAAACCGGGAGAUAGCUGGUUCUCCCCGAAAGCUAUUUAGGUAGCGCCUCGUGAAUUCAUCUCCGGGGGUAGAGCACUGUUUCGGCUAGGGGGCCAUCCCGGCUUACCAACCCGAUGCAAACUGCGAAUACCGGAGAAUGUUAUCACGGGAGACACACGGCGGGUGCUAACGUCCGUCGUGAAGAGGGAAACAACCCAGACCGCCAGCUAAGGUCCCAAAGUCAUGGUUAAGUGGGAAACGAUGUGGGAAGGCCCAGACAGCCAGGAUGUUGGCUUAGAAGCAGCCAUCAUUUAAAGAAAGCGUAAUAGCUCACUGGUCGAGUCGGCCUGCGCGGAAGAUGUAACGGGGCUAAACCAUGCACCGAAGCUGCGGCAGCGAACGUAUCACUUAAAGCGAUUCAGCGGGUUACGAUUGACGGAGCGAAGCGACGUCAAAGCGUAUACAAAGUCGAGUCGGUUUAAGGAUACGUUCGUUGGGUAGGGGAGCGUUCUGUAAGCCUGUGAAGGUGGCCUGUGAGGGUUGCUGGAGGUAUCAGAAGUGCGAAUGCUGACAUAAGUAACGAUAAAGCGGGUGAAAAGCCCGCUCGCCGGAAGACCAAGGGUUCCUGUCCAACGUUAAUCGGGGCAGGGUGAGUCGACCCCUAAGGCGAGGCCGAAAGGCGUAGUCGAUGGGAAACGGGUUAAUAUUCCCGUACUUGGUGUUACUGCGAAGGGGGGACGGAGAAGGCUAUGUUGGCCGGGCGACGGUUGUCCCGGUUUAAGCGUGUAGGUGUGUGUUCCAGGUAAAUCCGGUUCACUUUAACACUGAGGCGUGACGACGAGGCACUACGGUGCUGAAGCAACAAAUGCCCUGCUUCCAGGAAAAGCCUCUAAGCAUCAGGUAACAUCAAAUCGUACCCCAAACCGACACAGGUGGUCAGGUAGAGAAUACCAAGGCGCUUGAGAGAACUCGGGUGAAGGAACUAGGCAAAAUGGUGCCGUAACUUCGGGAGAAGGCACGCUGACACGUAGGUGAAGUGAUUUACUCA